This is a long non-coding RNA of Trifolium pratense (red clover), 532 nucleotides long. RefSeq lists it as uncharacterized. The transcript has 3 exons. The record is from RefSeq and is a predicted model, not a curated record. Lineage: Eukaryota; Viridiplantae; Streptophyta; Magnoliopsida; Fabales; Fabaceae.
ACUUUCUACAGAUGAUAACUUAGUAUCAAUUCCAAUUCUUAAUUCCUCUAUGUCCAUUGGUGCAUCCACUUUGAUUUCAUCAUCUUCAUUCUGCAAUUCAAUCUUUACCCAACCAUCUGAUUCCUCACUAGUAAAUAUGUGAAAAAAAGGAUGUUUCAAAAAUCGAAAGGGUUCCAAAAAGAUCGCUGCCAAUAAUAUGCUUUAGAGAUGGAGGUCCCCCUCUACCAGAUGCUUUAAACACAUCUCUCAAAUAUUCAGCUAUCUCAGGAAUAAAUGGUCUUGAUACGGAGCAGUGCAGUGCUUUCUUAUGAAGAAAAAUAUCACUAUGAAAUUGACUAAUGAGCUGGUAUUGUUAUAAGUAUAACUCAUAAGUCCUUUUAUUUGUGUGUGAUGUUAUUGUAUGUUAAGCUCAGUUUCUUCUUUCCUUUGUAUCAAAACUAGAUACACAUGACUUUGUAUCAAAGCUAAGCUUGUACUGAAAACUUGUGCAACACAUAUCGUUGAAAGAACCUACGUCAGUAACGAUUUAAAA